RNAcentral lists this transfer RNA (66 nucleotides) under Acrocephalus scirpaceus. RNAcentral's name for it is "transfer RNA-Ser". Lineage: Eukaryota; Metazoa; Chordata; Aves; Passeriformes; Sylviidae. The record is from RNAcentral.
GAGGGAGAGGUUAAUCCGGCAAGAACUGCUAACUCUCGCACCUGAGUCUAAAACCUCAGCUCCCUU